GAUGCCUUGGCAUGCACAGGCGAUGAAGGACGUGAUACGCUGCGAUAAGCGUCGGGGAGGUGCGAAUACCCUUUGAUCCGACGAUUUCCGAAUGGGGCAACCCACCUUAGAUGACUAGAAAAUCAGAUGUGUCGUUUAAGGCAAUAGGGCAAUACGGCAGUAGGGCAGUAUGUAAGAAACAUAUUGCCUUAUUGCCCUACUGACUUACUGCCUUUUGAGAACGGCGCAUGUGGUUUCUAGUCAUCAGAAAUAAGGUAUCUAACUCUGAAUACAUAGGGGUUAGAAGCGAACCUGGGGAACUGAAACAUCUAAGUACCCAGAGGAAAGGACAUCAAACGAGACUCCGCUAGUAGUGGCGAGCGAACGCGGACCAGGCCAGUGGCUUUUGUGAAUGAAGUGGAACGAGUUGGAAAACUCGACCGAAGUGGGUGAUAGUCCCGUACACGUAGAAUAGCAGAAGUCCUUGAGUAGGGCGGGACACGUGAAAUCCUGUCUGAACAUGGGUCGACCACGAUCCAAGCCUAAGUACUCGUGCAUGACCGAUAGCGAACCAGUACCGUGAGGGAAAGGUGAAAAGCACCCCGACGAGGGGAGUGAAACAGUACCUGAAACCGGAUGCCUACAAACAGUUGGAGCCCAAGGUUCGUCCUGGGUGACAGCGUACCUUUUGUAUAAUGGGUCAGCGACUUAGUGUAUCGAGCAAGCUUAAGCCGGUAGGUGUAGGCGCAGCGAAAGCGAGUCUGAACAGGGCGUUCAGUUCGAUGCAUUAGACCCGAAACCAAGUGAUCUAGCCAUGAGCAGGUUGAAGGUACGGUAACACGUACUGGAGGACCGAACCCAUAUCUGUUGCAAUAGAUCGGGAUGACUUGUGGCUAGGGGUGAAAGGCCAAUCAAACUUGGAGAUAGCUGGUUCUCCGCGAAAUCUAUUUAGGUAGAGCGUCGACCGAAUACCCCCGGGGGUAGAGCACUGGAUGGGCUAUGGGGACUCACCGUCUUACUGAUCCUAACCAAACUCCGAAUACCGGGGAGUACUAGUCGGCAGACACACGGCGGGUGCUAACGUCCGUCGUGGAGAGGGCAACAACCCUGACCACCAUCUAAGGUCCCUAAGUUAUGGCUAAGUGGGAAAGGAUGUGAGGAUCCCAAAACAACCAGGAUGUUGGCUUAGAAGCAGCCAUCAUUUAAAGAAAGCGUAACAGCUCACUGGUCUAAAUAAGGGUCUUUGCGCCGAAAAUGUACCGGGGCUCAAGCCAUACACCGAAGCUGUGGAUGCACGUAUGUGCGUGGUAGCGGAGCGUUCCGUAAGCCUGUGAAGGGACAGUCGUGAGACAUCCUGGAGGUAUCGGAAGUGAGAAUGCUGACAUGAGUAACGAUAAAGGGAGUGAGAGACUCCCUCGCCGAAAGUCCAAGGGUUCCUGCUUAAAGUUAAUCUGAGCAGGGUUAGCCGGCCCCUAAGGCGAGGCCGAAAGGCGUAGUCGAUGGGAACCACGUUAAUAUUCGUGGGCCUGCAGGUAGUGACGGAUCGCGUGUGUUGUACGUUCUUAUUGGAUUGAACGUGCAGCGAAGCGGUUCCAGGAAAUAGCUCCUGCAUAUAGACCGUACCCUAAACCGACACUGGUGGACUGGUAGAGAAUACCAAGGCGCUUGAGAGAACUGCGUUGAAGGAACUCGGCAAAAUGCACGCGUAACUUCGGAAGAAGCGUGACCCUCAUAUGGGCAACCAUGUGGGGGUGGCACAGACCAGGGGGUAGCGACUGUUUACCAAAAACACAGGGCUCUGCGAAGUCGCAAGACGACGUAUAGGGUCUGACGCCUGCCCGGUGCUGGAAGGUUAAGAGGAGAUGUGCAAGCAUUGAAU
Molecule: ribosomal RNA, 1858 nt
Filed under: Escherichia coli O157:H7
Lineage: Bacteria; Pseudomonadati; Pseudomonadota; Gammaproteobacteria; Enterobacterales; Enterobacteriaceae
Description: partial 23S ribosomal RNA
Rfam family: Bacterial large subunit ribosomal RNA
Source: RNAcentral